CGGCGCCAUGAGCUGGGAAGGGCGGCUCAGCUCCCUGCUGGCCCAGACCGACUCCGGCGUGGCGCGGGCCAAGCAGCGUCUCAGCAUGGCCAAUAUUCCCUCUAAAGUGGAUUUUCAGCUUGACAGAAUAAGCACUGAGAAGGCUGCGUUUGAUGAUUGUCUGCUUGGAGGCCAGCAGC
Molecule: non-coding RNA, 179 nt
Organism: Tinamus guttatus (white-throated tinamou)
Lineage: Eukaryota; Metazoa; Chordata; Aves; Tinamiformes; Tinamidae
Source: RefSeq, a predicted model, not a curated record